UGAAAUUCCCCAGUUAUGUGUUCUUUAAUGCAUGCUAAGUGUUUGAUGCAAGACCUUUUUGAAUGGAGUAUGAGCCAAUAGCAUAUCUUCUUAUAUUAUCACAUGUUUAUGGUUUUCUAAAUACUUAAAGAGAUGUUCUAGUCUUGUGAUGGUGAAUGAAUGUCCAUGGUUAUGAUUAUUCAACAAUGGUUAUGUUUUACUUUUAUGUCAUCGAGUCCGGG
RNAcentral lists this long non-coding RNA (221 nucleotides) under Capsicum annuum. RNAcentral's name for it is "long non-coding RNA (CANN_LNC005427)". Lineage: Eukaryota; Viridiplantae; Streptophyta; Magnoliopsida; Solanales; Solanaceae. The record is from RNAcentral.